UUCCCAACCCAGGGAUUGAACCCAGGUCUCCCAUAUUGCAGGCGGAUACUUUACCGUCUGAACCACCAGGGA
This 72-nucleotide transfer RNA is filed under the name Haemonchus contortus (barber pole worm). RNAcentral's name for it is "tRNA, Pseudo". The record is from RNAcentral. Lineage: Eukaryota; Metazoa; Nematoda; Chromadorea; Rhabditida; Trichostrongylidae.